This 373-nucleotide ribosomal RNA is filed under the name uncultured bacterium. Its description in RNAcentral is "bacterial SSU rRNA". It matches the Rfam family "Bacterial small subunit ribosomal RNA", at positions 525 to 896 of the family's 1533-position model. The record is from RNAcentral.
ACAGAGGUCUCAAGCGUUGUUCGGAAUCACUGGGCGUAAAGGGUGCGUAGGUGGCGUGGUAAGUCAGAUGUGAAAGCCCGGGGCUCAACCUCGGAAUUGCAUCCGAUACUGCCAUGCUCGAGUACUGAAGAGGUGACUAGAAUUCUAGGUGUAGCAGUGAAAUGCGUAGAUAUCUAGAGGAAUACCAAAGGCGAAGGCAGGUCACUGGGCAGUUACUGACACUGAGGCACGAAGGCCAGGGUAGCGAACGGGAUUAGAUACCCCGGUAGUCCUGGCAGUAAACGGUGCACGUUUGGUAUGGGCGCAAUCGACCGCGCCCGUGCCGGAGCUAACGCGUUAAACGUGCCGCCUGGGAAGUACGGUCGCAAGAUUA